GACGGACGCUGGCGGCGUGCCUAAAACAUGCAAGUCGAACGAGGCAGCAAUGCCUAGUGGCGAACGGCGGAGUAAUACAUAAGCAACGUGCCCCGAAGACCGGGAUAGCGGUCCGAAAGGACCAGUAAUACCGGAUGUGGCCUGCUUGAGACAUCUCAGGCGGAUUAAACGGUUUUUCGCUUCGGGAGCGGCUUAUGACCUAUCAGCUUGUUGGCGAGGUAACGGCUCACCAAGGCUACGACGGGUAGGGGGUCUGAGAGGAUGAUCCCCCCGAGUGGGACUGAAACACGGCCCACACACCUACGGGUGGCAGCAGUUGGGAAUCUUGCACAAUGGGGGAAACCCUGAUGCAGCGACGCCGCGUGGAGGAUGACGGAUCUAGGUCUGUAAACUCCUUUUUCAUGGAAAGACUUAGGACGGUACCAUGAGAAUAAGGACCGGCUAACUACGUGCCAGCAGCCGCGGUAAGACGUAGGGUCCAAGCGUUGUCCGGAUUUGCUGGGCGUAAGAGCGCGGUA
This 518-nucleotide ribosomal RNA is filed under the name uncultured bacterium. Its description in RNAcentral is "bacterial SSU rRNA". It matches the Rfam family "Bacterial small subunit ribosomal RNA", at positions 28 to 574 of the family's 1533-position model. The record is from RNAcentral.